GGCUGGUCUGAGUGCAGUGGUGUUUACAACUAAUUGAUCACAACCAGUUACAGGUCUUUCUGUUCCUUCUCCACUCCACUACUUCACUUGACUAGCCUAAA
Colobus angolensis palliatus is the source of this 101-nucleotide unclassified non-coding RNA. It matches the Rfam family "Y RNA". Rfam says of the family: Y RNAs are components of the Ro ribonucleoprotein particle (Ro RNP), in association with Ro60 and La proteins. The Y RNAs and Ro60 and La proteins are well conserved, but the function of the Ro RNP is not known. NCBI's taxonomy places the organism in Eukaryota, Metazoa, Chordata, Mammalia, Primates, Cercopithecidae. The record is from Ensembl.